RNAcentral lists this long non-coding RNA (1431 nucleotides) under Macaca nemestrina (pig-tailed macaque). RNAcentral's name for it is "lncRNA (ENSMNEG00000046137.1)". Lineage: Eukaryota; Metazoa; Chordata; Mammalia; Primates; Cercopithecidae. The record is from RNAcentral.
AUAUGGAACCUGGGGAAACAGAGGGCCCGCUGUCCCUACAGCAGAGAGGAUACAGCAACACAAGCCUUUACCCCUAAGAAGGAAGAUGUCGCUUGAUCACUGUGAGAUGCUAUGUGUUCCUUGAGAUUGGUUUGUGGCCUCAGGUCACAGGGCAAAAGGAUGAGAGGAACCUGGAGGUUUAUUAGAGACAGGAGCGUAGGGGACCACAGUGGCCACUGUGAGUAUUAACUGCAGCACGGCUUUCAGGGAGGAAAUGGAUGCCCUCCUUGCCCACAUUCAGAGAGCAGCAUUGCCUUCGGAGCUUACUAACUCCUGUCAAUGCCAGCCAAAUGUCUGGUAGCACUGUUGCCGCUGGAAAGGGACCCAGUGAACACUCUCCUUUUCUGAGUAAUUUUAUGACAAAGAUGAACAAUAGGUCAGAUGGAAACCGAGAUGCCGACUGUUAGAAUCUUGGAUGUGCAGUGAAAGUGGGCAUCUUUACUUAUACAAAAUACUUGGACUGAGACUGACCCACCUGGCCUCAGGCAGUGCUGCACUUCUGCAGGUUGCUCUCUGUGGGGCCUGCCCUGGAAACUAGCACAGAGGAGCACUUCACCCUGCAGAUGGCUGGCUUCCGAGAUGAAGAGGAUGAUAAGAAGAUGCUGAGGUGUGUGUGUCCAGUUCCUCUCCCAGAUUCGUCAACUCAGCAAAAAACACAUAUGUAUAUGUGUAUGUCUGCUUACGGACUCCCUGGAUUUUCUACUUGGAAGUAGUACCGAGGAAGAUCUAACACAGCAUGAAACGGUCAAGAAAUUGCCAUUGUUGUGAAAACUUCAACUCAAUAAUUCAGAGAUACAGAAAAUUGGCACAAGAAUGUUAUUUCUUCAUUUGGACAAAAAUCUCUGAACUUUCUGAGGUUCACCCAUCAUUGUUGUAAAACUCUAAAGAUCAAGUUUACUUUGGAAGUUCUGCUACAACCUCAAGUAUCAUGUUAGCCAUAGCAUGGCAGUGGGGAAAACGGAAAAGAGCAGCCCACUAUUUCCAAGAACCUCUAUUAUUUUAAAGCUCACAGUGUUUGUUUUACUAAUUCGGAGAGAAGAAAAGAUCACAGAUUAUUUCUCAGGACAAAGCCUGCUUGCAGAGGAGAAAUACCACGGCAGCUUGAUGUGCAACUGGGACUUAACCUCACACAAGACCCAAGAGUCCCCACGGAGGGCAUUCUCCAUGUGUUUCAACUUGGUGCAUCAUUCACCAAGCAUGUUCCCUCCGGAAAAGCAGGAGACCGCCCAAGUUGGAAGAAAAGGGCAUCUUUCAAACAAGAAGAUGGCUUUGGCUGCCCUUGUGGACCUGUGCUUCUCUGUCUGGGCACUGCCUGUUUCUGGAAGGUGUUUCCUCUCAGCCCGGAGUUAUAGGUACAAGAGCACGCAAGAGAGCAGACAGAGCAGGCUGUGA